This 215-nucleotide ribosomal RNA is filed under the name Pseudomonas matsuisoli. RNAcentral describes it as "partial 16S ribosomal RNA". It matches the Rfam family "Bacterial small subunit ribosomal RNA", at positions 413 to 620 of the family's 1533-position model. The record is from RNAcentral. Lineage: Bacteria; Pseudomonadati; Pseudomonadota; Gammaproteobacteria; Pseudomonadales; Pseudomonadaceae.
GGUCUUCGGAUUGUAAAGCACUUUAAGUUGGGAGGAAGGGCUUACGGUUAAUACCCGUGAGUUUUGACGUUACCAACAGAAUAAGCACCGGCUAACUCUGUGCCAGCAGCCGCGGUAAUACAGAGGGUGCGAGCGUUAAUCGGAAUUACUGGGCGUAAAGCGCGCGUAGGCGGUUUGGUAAGUUGGAUGUGAAAGCCCUGGGCUUAACCUGGGAA